CCAGACUCCUACGGGAGGCAGCAGCGGGGGAUAUUGCACAAUGGGGGAAACCCUGAUGCAGCGACGCCGCGUGGGUGAAGAAGCGCCUCGGCGCGUAAAGCCCUGUCAGCAGGGAAGAAAAUGACGGUACCUGACUAAGAAGUCCCGGCUAACUACGUGCCAGCAGCCGCGGUAAUACGUAGGGGGCAAGCGUUAUCCGGAUUCACUAGGUGUAAAGGGAGCGUAGACGGCGACGCAAGUCUGGAGUGAAAGCCCGGGGCCCAACCCCGGGACUGCUCUUGGAACUGCGUGGCUGGAGUGCAGGAGGGGCAGGCGGAAUUCCUGGUGUAGCGGUGAAAUGCGUAGAUAUCAGGAGGAACACCGGUGGCGAAGGCGGCCUGCUGGACUGCAACUGACGUUGAGGCCCGAAAGCGUGGGGAGCAAACAGGAUUAGAUACCCGGGUACU
This 446-nucleotide ribosomal RNA is filed under the name uncultured bacterium. RNAcentral's name for it is "bacterial SSU rRNA". It matches the Rfam family "Bacterial small subunit ribosomal RNA", at positions 331 to 794 of the family's 1533-position model. The record is from RNAcentral.